AGAUUAAGUUAUUAAGGGCGCACGGUGGAUGCCUUGGCACUAGAAGCCGAUGAAGGACGUUACUAACGACGAUAUGCUUUGGGUAGCUGUAAGUAAGCGUUGAUCCAGAGAUUUCCGAAUGGGGGAACCCAGCAUGAGUUAUGUCAUGUUAUCGACAUGUGAAUUCAUAGCAUGUCAGAAGGCAGACCCGGAGAACUGAAACAUCUUAGUACCCGGAGGAAGAGAAAGAAAAAUCGAUUCCCUGAGUAGCGGCGAGCGAAACGGGAAGAGCCCAAACCAACAAGCUUGCUUGUUGGGGUUGUAGGACACUCUAUACGGAGUUACAAAAGAACAUGUUAGACGAAUCAUCUGGAAAGAUGAAUCAAAGAAGGUAAUAAUCCUGUAGUCGAAAACAUAUUCUCUCUUGAGUGGAUCCUGAGUACGACGGAGCACGUGAAAUUCCGUCGGAAUCUGGGAGGACCAUCUCCUAAGGCUAAAUACUCUCUAGUGACCGAUAGUGAACCAGUACCGUGAGGGAAAGGUGAAAAGUACCCCGGAAGGGGAGUGAAAGAGAACUUGAAACCGUGUGCUUACAAGUAGUCAGAGCCCGUUAAUGGGUGAUGGCGUGCCUUUUGUAGAAUGAACCGGCGAGUUACGAUCUGAUGCAAGGUUAAGCAGCAAAUGUGGAGCCGCAGCGAAAGCGAGUCUGAAUAGGGCGUUGAGUAUUUGGUCGUAGACCCGAAACCAGGUGAUCUACCCUUGGUCAGGUUGAAGUUCAGGUAACACUGAAUGGAGGACCGAACCGACUUACGUUGAAAAGUGAGCGGAUGAACUGAGGGUAGCGGAGAAAUUCCAAUCGAACUUGGAGAUAGCUGGUUCUCUCCGAAAUAGCUUUAGGGCUAGCCUCAAGUGAUGAUUAUUGGAGGUAGAGCACUGUUUGGACGAGGGGCCCCUCUCGGGUUACCGAAUUCAGACAAACUCCGAAUGCCAAUUAAUUUAACUUGGGAGUCAGAACAUGGGUGAUAAGGUCCGUGUUCGAAAGGGAAACAGCCCAGACCACCAGCUAAGGUCCCAAAAUAUAUGUUAAGUGGAAAAGGAUGUGGCGUUGCCCAGACAACUAGGAUGUUGGCUUAGAAGCAGCCAUCAUUUAAAGAGUGCGUAAUAGCUCACUAGUCGAGUGACACUGCGCCGAAAAUGUACCGGGGCUAAACAUAUUACCGAAGCUGUGGAUUGUCCUUUGGACAAUGGUAGGAGAGCGUUCUAA
This 1243-nucleotide ribosomal RNA is filed under the name Staphylococcus epidermidis. RNAcentral's name for it is "bacterial LSU rRNA". It matches the Rfam family "Bacterial large subunit ribosomal RNA", at positions 1 to 1244 of the family's 2925-position model. Lineage: Bacteria; Bacillati; Bacillota; Bacilli; Caryophanales; Staphylococcaceae. The record is from RNAcentral.